AAAAGAAAAGUUGCGGAAUAGUCCCAAAAUUUCAAUAUCUUCUACAAAUUAGCCGGAUUGACUUGAAGUGAAGUGGGUAGAUCGGAUCAACACAACAAAGCACACUAUCCAGAUCAAUUCGGUAGCUUUUGUUUUAUGUUUGAAGAUUUAUAUGGCAUGUAUAGAGUUUGAAUGAAUUGAAGUAAAGAUGUUAUAAACUAGUUAACAAUAUUUGUACUAAAAUAGUUUUCGGUAAGUAGCAGUAGUUUGACUUUGAAAAAAUCACUAAAAAUAGUAGAAAUGGAAUUAAAUAAUGAAUAAAUUAUGGAAUCGAAUCUCGAUGAGUGUAUUUUCA
Molecule: long non-coding RNA, 334 nt
Organism: Gossypium arboreum
Lineage: Eukaryota; Viridiplantae; Streptophyta; Magnoliopsida; Malvales; Malvaceae
Exons: 2
Source: RefSeq, a predicted model, not a curated record